AUUGAACGCUGGCGGCAGGCCUAACACAUGCAAGUCGAACGAGUGGCGGACGGGUGAGUAAUGUCUGGGAAACUGCCUGAUGGAGGGGGAUAACUACUGGAAACGGUAGCUAAUACCGCAUACCAUCAGAUGUGCCCAGAUGGGUUUAGCUAGUUGGUGGGGUAAUGGCUCACAAAGGCGACGAUCCCUAGCUGGUCUGAGAGGAUGACCGGCAACGCUGGAGCUGAGACACGGUGCAGACUCCAACGGGAGGCAGCAGUGGGGAAUAUUGCACAGUGGGCGAAAGACUGAUGCAGCCAAGCCGCGGGUAUGAAGAAGGCCUUCGGAUUGUAAAGUACUUUCAGCGGGGAGGCGUUACCCGCAGAAAAAGCACCGGCUAACUACGUGCCAGCAGCCGCGGUAAUUC
RNAcentral lists this ribosomal RNA (406 nucleotides) under uncultured bacterium. Its description in RNAcentral is "partial 16S ribosomal RNA". It matches the Rfam family "Bacterial small subunit ribosomal RNA", at positions 30 to 526 of the family's 1533-position model. The record is from RNAcentral.